GACGUAGGGCGCGAGCGUUGUCCGGAUUUAUUGGGCGUAAAGAGCUCGUAGGCGGCUUGUUGCGUCGACCGUGAAAACCCGGGGCUCAACUUCGGGCUUGCGGUCGAUACGGGCGGGCUAGAGUUCGGUAGGGGAGACUGGAAUUCCUGGUGUAGCGGUGAAAUGCGCAGAUAUCAGGAGGAACACCGGUGGCGAAGGCGGGGUCUCUGGGCCGAUACUGACGCUGAGGAGCGAAAGCGUGGGGAGCGAACAGG
RNAcentral lists this ribosomal RNA (254 nucleotides) under uncultured bacterium. Its description in RNAcentral is "partial 16S ribosomal RNA". It matches the Rfam family "Bacterial small subunit ribosomal RNA", at positions 524 to 776 of the family's 1533-position model. The record is from RNAcentral.